CGAAUAUCUACACAACUGGAUUCUUAAAAAAACAUUUUUUUUUGCAGAUUAGUUAUGGUUUAUUCUGAAGAUCUUUUUUUUGUGUGUGUUUAUCUAACCAAAUUGGUACAUAAAAGAACGUUUUUUUGUAGGUGUUGCUGUCGGCACUGGAUGAACAUGGAUGAAGCGGUGUAUUAUGUGGUGUAUCUGGCAAGCACUCAGAACUUUUGUUCUUGAUAAAAAGGUAUCAUCAAUAUCUAACAAUUUAGAUUGGACUUCUUCUGAUUUAUAAAAAGUCUAUACGAAAUAAAUAAAUAGCGUGGGAUUGAAAUAAUGAUUUGAAAUCAUUGUGUAUUUUGAAAUACUCUAUCUUUCUCUUAAAUAGCCAAUCUUUCUCUAAAACACACCAUUGGUUUCAUGUGUAUAUAAACUUUUAAUGGCCACAUCCUUAGGAUUGGUCAUGAAAAUGAUUUGAAGAUUGGAAAAAAUAGAAAGUAUAUUAGAUGAUAGUGUAACACUAAAGCUUUGAAAACCAUAUAAGUAUUGAUUUAUUUUUGUUUUCUCAUAUGUGAGCCUUUGUUUUCUUUAGAUUUUUCUGUUUUCUUCAUAAUUUUUUUGUUGCAUUUGUCAGAAAAAAAAGAGUGAAAAAGUUUAUGUGUAUCUUUAAAAGAUGUUAAGAAGAUUUACUGUUGGUUGAGGAUUAUUAGGAUCCAGUUCUAAUAAGUUCCAAUCAAUGGUUAUUUUUUCAUUUUUGCAAUAAAUUUAAUAACUGCCAUUGUUCUAAUCACGUGUAUGUGUAUUUUUAAUAGCUGCCACUGUUUUGGCAGCUAGAUUGCUUGAUGUCUUUAAAAUCCCCGUAUUUUUGCUUGAUGUCUUUUGAAAUUGAUAAACUUGAGAAAAAGAAAAAAAAAACUCAUUCCUUUUUUCUUUUGUUCAUCAAAAAACAACUUUUUUGCAGCUAUGGUUGGCAACAGUUUAGCUAAUAUAUAAAAAAUUACACUGACACUGUUUUCUUUUGUGACUUCUGCAGAUCCUAGAGACGAUACUUACAUGCUCCAUUGACAGCAAGUCUUCAUCUGUGGAGAAAAUUCAUAAAUAUAAGCUAUGUAUAAAAUUGAAAUAAGUAUUGUAAUACUUGCUUAGUAUCUUAGUUGUAAUUGAAAUUAAUAGUAAAUAGGCACAUUAUAAACAAAUAAAAAUAAA
Molecule: long non-coding RNA, 1182 nt
Filed under: Salvia miltiorrhiza (redroot sage)
Lineage: Eukaryota; Viridiplantae; Streptophyta; Magnoliopsida; Lamiales; Lamiaceae
Description: long non-coding RNA (SMIL_LNC006283)
Source: RNAcentral